CAUAAAUGAACCCUAGAAACAACGAUAUACAGAGACCUAACAGAUAAGCGAAACCAACUAACCACGCACCUUAACAGAAUGAUCCAACGCUCUUACCAACACUACAGACACAUGAUACACGAACACGGAGAUAAAUGCGGGAGACUGCUAGUCAACCUCCUGAAGCAACGUACAACACAACUGUAUAUACCGAAAGUAAAA
Molecule: non-coding RNA, 201 nt
Organism: Pelobates cultripes (western spadefoot toad)
Lineage: Eukaryota; Metazoa; Chordata; Amphibia; Anura; Pelobatidae
Source: the annotation of a GenBank genome assembly